Athene cunicularia (burrowing owl) is the source of this 604-nucleotide long non-coding RNA. RefSeq lists it as uncharacterized. The record is from RefSeq and is a predicted model, not a curated record. The transcript is spliced from 4 exons. Lineage: Eukaryota; Metazoa; Chordata; Aves; Strigiformes; Strigidae.
UAAUCAGACAGACAGGGAGAAGGUGAACCAGGUUGGACUGACAGUACAGUUGAAAGUUUGGUGUCCCUGAUAAUGCAACAUUACCAGCCUAAUUUGCACAGUUAUGACAGCUUCCAGAUGAAGAAUAUCGACAUUCAUAAAUCGUUUUAAAUUAGGAAACCAAAUUAGAUGUCUCUCAUGGCUAUUUAAGACAAAUCCUUUGGUGUCCUCAACAUCCAUACUCAAAAUAAAUGCCAUCCAGGUGAAGAUCUUGCUUUGUGUCUGUGGUCUUCAUUUUAGGCUGGAACUCUGAAGCAAUGUUUAAAGGAUAGGUACUUCUGAAUCAAUGAAAAGAGACGGUCUUGGACCUGCCUUGUUGUCUGUCUGAUUCCCCUUUUGAAGGAGGGUAAGGUUGAGGACCACACAAGAGAUUAGUACCCAUAAACCUCUGCACUGAUCACCACAAUGCCAGAGCACUUGGAGUUGCUAGGGGAAGUAGAACAAUGUACUAACAAAGUUUGUUCAUUGGUGGUUCUAACCUGCUGGAUCUUUGGUCUAAGUUAUAGAACCAACGAUCUCCACUGUCUUAAUUCCCUCAUAGCCUUAACAUCUCAUUAUUAGUGUU